CCUACGGGGGGCAGCAGUGGGGAAUAUUGGACAAUGGGGGGAACCCUGAUCCAACCAUGCCGCGUGUGUGAAGAAGGCCCUCGGGUUGUAAAGCACUUUCAGUGAGGAAGAACGCCUGGUGGUUAAUACCCAUCAGGAAAGACAUCACUCACAGAAGAAGCACCGGCUAACUCCGUGCCAGCAGCCGCGGUAAUACGGAGGGUGCGAGCGUUAAUCGGAAUUACUGGGCGUAAAGCGCGCGUAGGUGGCUUGAUAAGCCGGUUGUGAAAGCCCCGGGCUCAACCUGGGAACGGCAUCCGGAACUGUCAAGCUAGAGUGCAGGAGAGGAAGGUAGAAUUCCCGGUGUAGCGGUGAAAUGCGUAGAGAUCGGGAGGAAUACCAGUGGCGAAGGCGGCCUUCUGGACUGACACUGACACUGAGGUGCGAAAGCGUGGGUAGCAAACAGGAUUAGAUACCCGAGUAGUC
This 465-nucleotide ribosomal RNA is filed under the name Vreelandella stevensii. Its description in RNAcentral is "partial 16S ribosomal RNA". It matches the Rfam family "Bacterial small subunit ribosomal RNA", at positions 338 to 795 of the family's 1533-position model. Lineage: Bacteria; Pseudomonadati; Pseudomonadota; Gammaproteobacteria; Oceanospirillales; Halomonadaceae. The record is from RNAcentral.